GUUCUUGCUUCGGCAGCACAUGUACUGGAGUUGGAGCAAUACAGAGAAGAUGGGCAUGGCCCCUGCGCAAGGGUGACAUGCAAAUUCAUGAAGCAUUCCAUAUUAAG
Molecule: small nuclear RNA, 107 nt
Organism: Choloepus didactylus (southern two-toed sloth)
Lineage: Eukaryota; Metazoa; Chordata; Mammalia; Pilosa; Megalonychidae
Source: RefSeq, a predicted model, not a curated record